AUUUUGAUCCUGCCGGACCCGACUGCUAUUUGGGUGAGGAUAAGCCAUGCGAGUCGAAUGGGAUACCUAAAUUUCCCAUGGCGAACUGCUCAAUAACACAUGAUCAACUUGCCCUAUAGAGAAAAAUAACCUCGGGAAACUGAGGAUAAUGUUUCAUAGUUGAAAAGGCUUGGAAAAGUUUUUCGACCAAAGGGAUAAAAAAAAUGGUUUUUAUCCGCUAUAGGAUAGGAUCGUGCUCGAUUAUGGUCGUUGGUGAGGUAACGGCUCACCAAGCCGAUAAUCGAUAGGGGCCGUGAGAGCGGGAGCCCCGAGAUGGGUACUGAGACAGCGACCCAGGCCUUACGAGGCGCAGCAGGCGCGGAACCUCCGCAAUACACGAAAGUGUGACGGGGUUACCCAAAGUGUUCAAUAGAACUGUGGUAGGUGAGUAAUGUCCCCUACUAGAAAGGAGAGGGCAAGGCUGGUGCCAGCCGCCGCGGUAAAACCAGCUCUUCAAGUGGUCGGGAUAAUUAUUGGGCUUAAAGUGUCCGUAGCCGGUUUAGUAAGU
RNAcentral lists this ribosomal RNA (547 nucleotides) under Promethearchaeota archaeon. Its description in RNAcentral is "bacterial SSU rRNA". It matches the Rfam family "Archaeal small subunit ribosomal RNA", at positions 1 to 538 of the family's 1478-position model. Lineage: Archaea; Promethearchaeati; Promethearchaeota. The record is from RNAcentral.